This 253-nucleotide ribosomal RNA is filed under the name uncultured bacterium. RNAcentral's name for it is "partial 16S ribosomal RNA". It matches the Rfam family "Bacterial small subunit ribosomal RNA", at positions 524 to 776 of the family's 1533-position model. The record is from RNAcentral.
UACAGAGGGUGCAAGCGUUGUCCGGAAUCACUGGGCGUAAAGGGCGCGUAGGCGGCCUGAUAAGUCGGGGGUGAAAUUCUGCGGCUUUACCGCAGGACGGCCUUCGAGACUGUCGGGCUUGAGCACGGUAGAGGCUGGUGGAAUUCCCGGUGUAGCGGUGGAAUGCGUAGAGAUCGGGAAGAACAUCGGUGGCGAAGGCGGCCAGCUGGGCCGUUGCUGACGCUGAGGCGCGACAGCGUGGGGAGCAAACAGG